GACGAACGCUGGCGGCGUGCUUAACACAUGCAAGUCGAACGGAAAGGCCCUUCGGGGUACUCGCGUGGCGAACGGGUGAGUAACACGUGGGUGAUCUGCCCUGCACUUUGUGAUACGCCUGGGACACUGGGUCUACUACCGAAUAGGACCACGCGCUUCAUGGCGUGUGGUGGAAAUCUUGUGCGGUGUGGGCUGGGCCAGCGGCCUAUCAGCUUGUUGGUGAGGUAAUGGCCUACGAGGGCGACGAGGGGUAGCCGGCCUGUGAGGGGGAGCGGCGACACUGGGACUGAGAGACGGCCCAGACGCGUACGGGAGGCAGCGGGGGGGAAUAUUACACAAUGGGCGCAAGCCAGAGGCAGCGACGCCGCGUGAGGGAUGACGGCCUUCGGGUGGUAAACCUCUGUCAAUAGGGACGAAGCGCAAGUGACGGUACCUAUAGAAGAAGCACCGGCCAACUACGUG
This 462-nucleotide ribosomal RNA is filed under the name uncultured bacterium. RNAcentral's name for it is "partial 16S ribosomal RNA". It matches the Rfam family "Bacterial small subunit ribosomal RNA", at positions 28 to 507 of the family's 1533-position model. The record is from RNAcentral.